RNAcentral lists this ribosomal RNA (492 nucleotides) under uncultured bacterium. RNAcentral's name for it is "partial 16S ribosomal RNA". It matches the Rfam family "Bacterial small subunit ribosomal RNA", at positions 29 to 507 of the family's 1533-position model. The record is from RNAcentral.
AGUGAACGCUGGCGGUAGGCCUAACACAUGCAAGUCGAACGGCAGCACAGUAAGAGCUUGCUCUUACGGGUGGCGAGUGGCGGACGGGUGAGGAAUACAUCGGAAUCUACUUUUUCGUGGGGGAUAACGUAGGGAAACUUACGCUAAUACCGCAUACGACCUACGGGUGAAAGCAGGGGAUCUUCGGACCUUGCGCGAUUGAAUGAGCCGAUGUCGGAUUAGCUAGUUGGCGGGGUAAAGGCCCACCAAGGCGACGAUCCGUAGCUGGUCUGAGAGGAUGAUCAGCCAAAAUGGAAAUGGGAAACGGCCCAGACUCCUAAGGGAGGCAGCAGUGGGGAAUAUUGGACAAUGGGCGCAAGCCUGAUCCAGCCAUACCGCGUGGGUGAAGAAGGCCUUCGGGUUGUAAAGCCCUUUUGUUGGGAAAGAAAAGCAGCAGGUUAAUACCCCGCUGUUCUGACGGUACCCAAAGAAUAAGCACCGGCUAACUUCGUG